This 492-nucleotide ribosomal RNA is filed under the name Aeromonas sp. 'starch-degrading 4'. RNAcentral's name for it is "bacterial SSU rRNA". It matches the Rfam family "Bacterial small subunit ribosomal RNA", at positions 30 to 507 of the family's 1533-position model. RNAcentral also lists the same sequence under 2 other names. Lineage: Bacteria; Pseudomonadati; Pseudomonadota; Gammaproteobacteria; Aeromonadales; Aeromonadaceae. The record is from RNAcentral.
AUUGAACGCUGGCGGCAGGCCUAACACAUGCAAGUCGAGCGGCAGCGGGAAAGUAGCUUGCUACUUUUGCCGGCGAGCGGCGGACGGGUGAGUAAUGCCUGGGAAAUUGCCCAGUCGAGGGGGAUAACAGUUGGAAACGACUGCUAAUACCGCAUACGCCCUACGGGGGAAAGCAGGGGACCUUCGGGCCUUGCGCGAUUGGAUAUGCCCAGGUGGGAUUAGCUAGUUGGUGAGGUAAUGGCUCACCAAGGCGACGAUCCCUAGCUGGUCUGAGAGGAUGAUCAGCCACACUGGAACUGAGACACGGUCCAGACUCCUACGGGAGGCAGCAGUGGGGAAUAUUGCACAAUGGGGGAAACCCUGAUGCAGCCAUGCCGCGUGUGUGAAGAAGGCCUUCGGGUUGUAAAGCACUUUCAGCGAGGAGGAAAGGUCAGUAGCUAAUAUCUGCUGGCUGUGACGUUACUCGCAGAAGAAGCACCGGCUAACUCCGUG